GUUAAAGUAGUUUAUUAAAACACCGCGUUGUGGCCACGGAGAUACAUUCUAAAAUGUCUUUAACCA
This 66-nucleotide transfer RNA is filed under the name Orbinia latreillii. RNAcentral's name for it is "tRNA-His". Lineage: Eukaryota; Metazoa; Annelida; Polychaeta; Orbiniidae. The record is from RNAcentral.